This 253-nucleotide ribosomal RNA is filed under the name uncultured bacterium. RNAcentral describes it as "partial 16S ribosomal RNA". It matches the Rfam family "Bacterial small subunit ribosomal RNA", at positions 524 to 776 of the family's 1533-position model. The record is from RNAcentral.
UACGAAGGGGGCUAGCGUUGUUCGGAAUUACUGGGCGUAAAGCGUAUGCAGGCGGACUUUUAAGUCGGGGGUGAAAUCCCGAGGCUCAACCUCGGAACUGCCCUCGAUACUGGAAGUCUUGAGUCCGGGAGAGGUGAGUGGAACUCCGAGUGUAGAGGUGAAAUUCGUAGAUAUUCGGAAGAACACCAGUGGCGAAGGCGGCUCACUGGCCCGGUACUGACGCUGAGAUACGAAAGCGUGGGGAGCAAACAGG